CCUACGGGCGGCAGCAGUGAGGAAUAUUGGUCAAUGGACGAGAGUCUGAACCAGCCAAGUAGCGUGAAGGCUGACUGCCCUAUGGGUUGUAAACUUCUUUUAUAUGGGAAUAAAAUGUUCCACGUGUGGGAUUUUGUAUGUACCAUAUGAAUAAGGAUCGGCUAACUCCGUGCCAGCAGCCGCGGUAAUACGGAGGAUCCGAGCGUUAUCCGGAUUUAUUGGGUUUAAAGGGAGCGUAGGUGGAUUGUUAAGUCAGUUGUGAAAGUUUGCGGCUCAAACGUAAAAUUGCAGUUGAAACUGGCAGUCUUGAGUACAGUAGAGGUGGGCGGAAUUCGUGGUGUAGCGGUGAAAUGCUUAGAUAUCACGAAGAACUCCGAUUGCGAAGGCAGUUCACUGGACUGCAACUGACACUGAGGCUCGAAAGUGUGGGUAUCAAACAGGAUUAGAUACCCUAGUAGUC
This 460-nucleotide ribosomal RNA is filed under the name uncultured bacterium. RNAcentral's name for it is "partial 16S ribosomal RNA". It matches the Rfam family "Bacterial small subunit ribosomal RNA", at positions 338 to 795 of the family's 1533-position model. The record is from RNAcentral.